Molecule: RNA transcript, 2427 nt
Organism: Pleuronectes platessa (European plaice)
Lineage: Eukaryota; Metazoa; Chordata; Actinopteri; Pleuronectiformes; Pleuronectidae
Gene name: spatacsin-like
Exons: 7
Source: RefSeq, a predicted model, not a curated record
GUAAAAACCCUAUUUGUAAACAACCAGUCCUUUAACUAAGCGCUACGUCAUAAACACGGCGCGCUUGGAAGACCACGAUGUCAUCUUCCUUCUGUCAGGAGGAUCAAAGUGAAGCUACAGGAGUUUCAUUAACGUCAACAACUUGGACCGAACGGUUUGUUUUGCUUGAUGAAGAGCAGGAAGGGCAGCCUGGAGAGAAAGAGAAGCCGGGUUGAGCCCACUACCAUCAUCCACGUACCACGAGGAAGAUGAGGGAGAGAAAUGAUCCUACCAUUAAAGAGACUGUGAAAAGAACGUUGAGAACAUCACCACUCUACAGGAAGACACAGUCCAGUAAUGGGUGUCAGAAGUUCAGUAGUGAACGACAGAAACAAACAAUCCAAAUUACCUGCAGAACGCCCUUGAUGGACGCUUCAGCUGCAUCGUCAGACUGGCAGUACUGAGUCAUUUACUGAGAGGGGACGUGAGGGCCUACUCUGCGUGCUCAGAGUUCAAGCCCAGCAGGCUGCAGCGGUCCUGACAUAUUCUGGAACAGCAGCACAGUCUUUGGAUGACUCCUCUGAAGAUGAAAACAUGGCGAGUUCUUCUCAAGAGAAGCAGUACAGGUGUGCCUCAGCUCCACGGUCCCUCCUGCAGCCUCCGCUCCUGAUGCUAACCUCAUGUCUCCAUCACACCAAGCAGCAGACCUGGAUUGACAGACCUUUCUCCAGAGCUGCCCCCUCCCUCUGAAACCCCCCUCUCCAAAACACUAUUUGUGUAGUUUUUAAAGUCUUAUUUGCAUGAGAAUUGUUGAUCAUAUCAUUUCCAGCAGAUGCCUUAAUGUAAUGUUUGUGCACAAUAAAUGACAUUGAUCAUAACAUAAUGGUAUUUCCUUGCACUUCUACACCAUGAUAUUGUCAGAUAAGAUGCUGAUUACAUUAAAGCAGUGAAUGCUCUGCUUUAAGCAACAUAAACACACAAUGAUCCAAUGGAUCUGAAGUAGAAUGGGCACAUUACAUUCUGUAGAGAAUGCCUCAGUUAUGGAAGUCAGAAAAUAACUUUCUUUAUCUGAGGUUCCAGUCAUUUAUAGUCACAGCAAAGCACACAGGUCUGGUUGUCUAAGUGGCUCCCAUAUCAUAUUGUUUAAGAUGUGUAACAUAAAGUUUGUGUUUCAGUGCAAAAUUAGUCAUUAGUCAAGAGUUCACCUUCUUCUUUACACUAAAUUUAGGUGACCCAGAUGUUUCACAAUGCAAUCUGAUAAGGUCUUAUGAGAAACAUUCUUAACAUUAAAGAAAUCAACACAGAGUAUAGCAAUAACUGUUUGACUUUAAUCAGUAGCUGGUAAUCGGCAGCCUGACUUAUUCAAACACAUUAAUACUACAAUGAAUAAGGCAGGGGGUUUUCAUCAGAAAUCAUUUCUGGGACAUUAAUUUAAAAGAUCUCCAGUAUAAGCAAAUGUGUUUUAAAAUUGGUUUACAUCCAAGUGUGAGGCUGUCCUGGCACAUGGAAAUAAGAUAUAUAUAUAUUGUUUGUAUUAGCUUUCCCUCAGUUUAGUACUUGCACUUCUUGAAAAGCUCUAUAUAAAUAAGAUGUAUUAAUGUUUAUACAUUGCCCUCUAGUAUAUGUUUUCCUAAAAGACACUGUAGAUACAGAAAUAACAGUAUGGUUCAGGUGACAGUAAGUGGAAGCUGAAGGUAAUUUCCAUGUGCUCAAGAGAAACAUAACGUGACGAUAUAGUUGAUUUCUGAUAGAAGGCCCUGCAGACAGCGAGAAGCACAACAUGGUGGCGCUGUGCUUCAGCAUGAGGAGGGAGAUCGGAGAGAACCACGAGAUGGCUGCCAGGACGCAGCUGAAGAUCAUCGAGUCUCAGGAGUGGGGUGAGGAUUCACCGUCAGUGAACGUCUGAGUCAGGGUUCCUCCUCGUGUCAUGUGACCAUGAGUUUCACCGACUUGUCUCCAAACAGUCGUCACGCCGGAUCUGAAGAGCUCAUUGGUCAAAGUGUUGGGUCUGUUGAAGGACGCAGCUGAGAGCUUCUCCAAGGACUCGUGUGUGCGUCAGGCGACUCGCUGUGUCCUCACAGCUAAGCUAGUCGCUCUUCAGCUCCACUUCCUGAACCAGGGCUCAGACGUACGUGUCAUCAACCUGCGACCUGCGGUGCUGCUGAACACGCUCGUCCAGCUGCCGCGAUGCUACCAGGUCACUUCCUGUUCCUGCUUCACUGAAACACUUUCACAACCUUCAGUCUGUUGAUGUUUAGAAAACACAUUGUGUGAGUGUGGUGAUGUGGUGACGCAGCGUGGAGUCUUCUGACCGUUAGAAGACUCUUGAGAAGUAAAGUGCACGAUGUGGAAGGAGCCGCAGCUCCAACAGAAGUUGUGUGUUUUGUGCGGCAGGUGUUUGUGGUGUCGGAGGCGUACGGCGUCAGUCCCGACUGGGCCGAGGUUCUG